This 189-nucleotide unclassified non-coding RNA is filed under the name Glomeraceae sp. Its description in RNAcentral is "partial contains 5.8S ribosomal RNA and internal transcribed spacer 2". The stretch from base 1 to 71 matches the Rfam family "5.8S ribosomal RNA", at positions 84 to 154 of the family's 154-position model. The record is from RNAcentral. Lineage: Eukaryota; Fungi; Glomeromycota; Glomeromycetes; Glomerales; Glomeraceae.
GUGAAUCAUCGAAUUUUUGAACGCAAAUUGCACUCUCUGGUAUUCCGGAGAGUAUGCCUGUUUGAGGGUCAGUUUUAAUAACAAUCGGUGUGGUUGCUGCCUUUCGUGUUGACGCACCGGAGUUGGGUCGUCUUGCCUUCGGUUAAGUGCCCUAAAAUUUUGCAUGAUAUUUCCUUACUUAUUUAAAUG